This 814-nucleotide ribosomal RNA is filed under the name uncultured bacterium. RNAcentral's name for it is "bacterial SSU rRNA". It matches the Rfam family "Bacterial small subunit ribosomal RNA", at positions 615 to 1430 of the family's 1533-position model. The record is from RNAcentral.
UGGGAACUGCGUUNUGAACUGGGUGACUAGAGUGUGUCAGAGGGAGGUAGAAUUCCACGUGUAGCAGUGAAAUGCGUAGAGAUGUGGAGGAAUACCGAUGGCGAAGGCAGCCUCCUGGGAUAACACUGACGUUCAUGCCCGAAAGCGUGGGUAGCAAACAGGAUUAGAUACCCUGGUAGUCCACGCCCUAAACGAUGUCGAUUAGCUGUUGGGCAGCAUGACUGCUUAGUAGCGAAGCUAACGCGUGAAAUCGACCGCCUGGGGAGUACGGUCGCAAGAUUAAAACUCAAAGGAAUUGACGGGGACCCGCACAAGCGGUGGAUGAUGUGGAUUAAUUCGAUGCAACGCGAAGAACCUUACCUGGUCUUGACAUGUACGGAAUCCUCCAGAGACGGAGGAGUGCCUUCGGGAGCCGUAACACAGGUGCUGCAUGGCUGUCGUCAGCUCGUGUCGUGAGAUGUUGGGUUAAGUCCCGCAACGAGCGCAACCCUUGUCAUUAGUUGCCAUCAUUAAGUUGGGCACUCUAAUGAGACUGCCGGUGACAAGCCGGAGGAAGGUGGGGAUGACGUCAAGUCCUCAUGGCCCUUAUGACCAGGGCUUCACACGUCAUACAAUGGUCGGUACAGAGGGUAGCCAAGCCGCGAGGCGGAGCCAAUCUCACAAAACUGAUCGUAGUCCGGAUUGCACUCUGCAACUCGAGUGCAUGAAGUCGGAAUCGCUAGUAAUCGCAGGUCAGCAUACUGCGGUGAAUACGUUCCCGGGUCUUGUACACACCGCCCGUCACACCAUGGGAGUGGGGGAUACCAGAAGUAGG